AUGAAGAGCAGGAAGAGCUACGGGCAGCAGCAGAGCCACCUGCUGAGCCCGGUGGGCAGCCCGUCGUCGGACAACGGCGGGGGCGACUCGCCGGCCAAGGAGCAGGACCGGUUCCUCCCGAUCGCCAACGUUAGCCGCAUCAUGAAGCGCUCCCUCCCGGCCAACGCCAAGAUCUCCAAGGAGGCCAAGGAGACGGUGCAGGAGUGCGUGUCCGAGUUCAUCAGCUUCGUCACCGGCGAGGCCUCCGACAAGUGCCAGCGGGAGAAGCGCAAGACCAUCAACGGCGACGACCUGCUCUGGGCCAUGACCACGCUCGGCUUCGAGGUCUACGUCGCGCCGCUCAAGGCCUACCUCAACCGCUACCGCGAGGUCGAGGGCGAGAAGGCCGCCGUGGUCGGCGGCUCGCGGCUCGGCGACGACGACGCGCAUUCCUCCCUCUCUGCCGCCGGCGACGCCCUGGCGCCGCAGUACACGCACGGGGCUGGCGACCGCGGCGUCCAGGACGGCGACUUGGGCGGCCACGACGCGCACGUCGGGCUCAUGAUGGGCGUCAACAUGGGGUUCAACCCCGGGACCGGGACAACGUUCUACGCGGCGCCGGGUGCGGCGCAUGGACGGAGGGCGUACGGCGGCGGGGAGGGUGCAAGGGGGAUUGAUUUCGAGGCUGCCUUCGGUGGCGAUCGCGGGAAGAACGGCGCCGGAGGCGAAAGGGAGUUCGCUGGCCACCUCCACGGCGCGGUGCAAUGGUGA
Molecule: ribosomal RNA, 750 nt
Filed under: Triticum aestivum (bread wheat)
Lineage: Eukaryota; Viridiplantae; Streptophyta; Magnoliopsida; Poales; Poaceae
Description: partial small subunit ribosomal RNA
Source: RNAcentral